RNAcentral lists this ribosomal RNA (420 nucleotides) under uncultured bacterium. RNAcentral's name for it is "partial 16S ribosomal RNA". It matches the Rfam family "Bacterial small subunit ribosomal RNA", at positions 360 to 772 of the family's 1533-position model. The record is from RNAcentral.
AAUAUUGGACAAUGGGGGCAACCCUGAUCCAGCCAUGCCGCGUGUGUGAAGACGGUCUUCGGAUUGUAAAGCACUUUAAGUUGGGAGGAAGGGCUUUAGGUUAAUACCCUGAAGUUUUGACGUUACCAACAGUAUAAGCACCGGCUAUCUCUGUGCCAUCCGCCGCUGUAAUACAGAGGGUGCAAGCGUUAAUCGGAAUUAGUGGGAGCAACGCGCGCGUAGGUGGUUCAGUAAGAUGGGUGUAACAUCCCCGGGCUUAACCUGGGAACUGCUUUCAUAACUGCUGAGCGAGAGUACGGUAGAGGGUAGUGGAAUUUCCUGUGUAGCGGUGAAAUGCGUAGAUAUAGGAAGGAACACCAGUGGCGAAGGCGACUACCUGGACUGAUACUGACACUGAGGUGCGAAAGCGUGGGGAGCAAA